RNAcentral lists this ribosomal RNA (771 nucleotides) under uncultured bacterium. RNAcentral describes it as "bacterial SSU rRNA". It matches the Rfam family "Bacterial small subunit ribosomal RNA", at positions 8 to 796 of the family's 1533-position model. The record is from RNAcentral.
AGAGUUUGAUCAUGGCUCAGAAUCAACGCUGGCGGCGUGCCUAACACAUGCAAGUCGAACGAGAAAGUGGAGCAAUCCAUGAGUAAAGUGGCGACCGGGUGAGUAACACGUGACUAACCUACCCUGAAGUGGGGAAUAACCUCGGGAAACCGGGGCUAAUACCGCAUAACAUCGCGAGCUGUAAACGCUUGUGAUCAAAGGAGCAAUUCGCUUUAGGAGGGGGUCGCGGCUGAUUAGCUAGUUGGUGAGGUAACGGCUCACCAAGGCAAAGAUCAGUAUCCGGCCUGAGAGGGCGCACGGACACACUGGAACUGAAACACGGUCCAGACUCCUACGGGAGGCAGCAGUGGGGAAUUUUGCGCAAUGGGGGAAACCCUGACGCAGCAACGCCGCGUGGAGGAUGAAGUCCCUUGGGAUGUAAACUCCUUUCGAUCGGGACGAUUAUGACGGUACCGGAAGAAGAAGCACCGGCUAACUCUGUGCCAGCAGCCGCGGUAAUACAGAGGGUGCAAGCGUUGUUCGGAAUUAUUGGGCGUAAAGGGCGCGUAGGCGGUGCUGUAAGUCUGUGGUGAAAUCUCUGGGCUCAACUCAGAGUCUGCCAUAGAAACUGCAGUGCUGGAGUGUGGGAGAGGUGAGUGGAAUUCCCGGUGUAGCGGUGAAAUGCGUAGAUAUGACAUAGAACACCAAUUGCGAAGGCAGCUCGCUACACGGUUAUUGACGCUGAGGCACGAAAGCGUGGGGAUCAAACAGGAUUAGAUACCCUAGUAGUCC